This is a long non-coding RNA of Cyprinus carpio carpio, 2121 nucleotides long. NCBI's taxonomy places the organism in Eukaryota, Metazoa, Chordata, Actinopteri, Cypriniformes, Cyprinidae. The record is from Ensembl.
UCCCGCUGCGUCUCACUGUUUCUCUCUCUGUCUAUUGUUGUGUAUCUAAACUGUCUUUAUAUCAUUGAUCCUGAUGAUGAUGUAAGUGCAGGCGGCUGAGGUGCAGACAGGAGAUCUAUCCUGAGCAAAUCAUCUACAGUCUGUGGAGCUUCUUCAUCUACCGCAGACCUGCUGUGAAGUGCAUCAUGGGAAAUCUUCUGCUUCAUAAUAAGCCGGUCAGAGGUCACUGGUGAAAUCUUCAUCUGAUGGUGUGUUAAGAGCCGCUGGUUUGGCUGUGAUCUGAACCGUCUGUGUUUCAGUGUCUGUAAUCAGAUUCACCUGCGGGCCGCUGGACGCCGGUCAGACGCUCAUGGCCCGCAGAUGACAGGAAGGCCUUACGACUGGAAUGUCCUCUUCUCCAGAGAGGAAAUUAACUUCUUGUGAUUUUCCGAAAGCGAUGGCCACCGCUUGGUCUGAAGGCCGAGGGUUAGACGGCUGCGACUGGAAUCUGGGCCUGCUGAGCGAAGCGUGAGGAGCUUCGGCUGAAGAACAGGCUGCUUCCUCUCUUCAGAAGCUUUCAUUAAGAGUGAUUCUGUUGAGGAGCUGGCGAGCGAUGAAGCGGCUCUGCCUCGGGCCUUUGAACGCGUCUGCGUCCGAGCCGUCGGUAGCGCUGCGGAGAAAUCUCUUUUUAUCAUCUCUGCGUCUCUAGAGAUAAUCGACUCGUCUCUGAGUGGGUUGAAAAAGUUUUUCCGUCCAGCAGAUUAGUGCCACAGUUUAGCGCAGCUCAUAUUCAAACAGGCUGCCAAACACAUCCAGUCACAACCCGAGAGCCAGUUUAAGCAAACACAGGAAAUGCCUUCAGAACAGAGUCUGCUUGACUGGAAACAAUAAGGAAGGGUGAACAUCCGGCUAACAAUAGAAACAAGAAACAUUUCUGCAUUCUCUUAAAGCAAACUGACAUAUACUCGUGUACCUGCUAAUAAAAGCCAAUCUAUUGCUAGCUAAGUUUCCAAAGGUAGUCAGCAGAAUUAAGACACCUCGUUCUGGGGAUGUAUCCUUCACAGAGAAGGCAAUCCCAGAAUGCAUUGCUCGGAGAAGUAUGUAGUUGGAUGUUGAAGUAUGUUGAUAUUUUAAGGGUUUUGCAUGCAGUCUCUCAAAAAAGUCCAUAUGUAUAUAUUUAUUACACGAUAAAUCAUAUAAUAAAAUAGUAUUAUAAAAAGAAAAUAUAUAUAUAAAAAAUAAUUCUGAUAAAUGAUUAUUUUUAUAAAAUAAAUUAAUACUUUUAUUCAUCAAGAACACAUUAAAUUGAUCAAGUGAGGGUAAAUACAUUUAUAAUUUGAUUUCUGUUUCAAAUAAAUGCUGUUCUUUUGAACUUUCUAUUCAUCUGUGAAUGCUGAAAAAUAAAAUGUAUCACGGUUUCCACAAAAAUAUUGUGCAGCACAACUGUGUUCAACAAUGAUAAUAAUCAGAAAUGUUUCUUGAGCAGCAAAUCAUCAUAUUAGAAUGAUUUCUGAAGAUCAUGUGACACUGAAGACUGGAGUAAUGAUGCUGAAAAUACAGCUGCACAUCACAGAAAUAAAUUACAGUUUAACAGAUAUUCACACAGAAAACAGCUGUUUUAAAUUAUAAUAAUAUUUCACAAUUUUACUGUAUUUUUGAAAAAUGUAUCGUUAACUGAUGAUUGCAAAUGAACAUUCUUUGUGGUAUAAAUAAGUGCUGUUCAUGUAGUGUGUUCCAGAUCAGUCCCUUAUGAGGGAUCACUUCAGUUGGGAUGCUGUAGACAGUGAGGCAGCUCACUAGGGUUUGGAAAAGAGCCUGUGUGCACUUUUGUUUAGAAAGAGUCUGCCAAGAAAAUAUCCAUAAAUCUAAGUGUGUAUAUGAGCACUUCGAAAGACUGCGGCCAAAACACACUGUUCAAAUAUAUCGUCAUGGUCACAAUAUCUCAGGCCUGUAACUUCAUCAAAGUCACAAAGCUAAAAAACGCAGUUUAGAGCAAAAUUAUUCAGAAAAGCAGGUCUAUUUCUAUAAUAAUAAAAUGGCUCCAAUUUAAAGAGGACCAUGUGCUCAGUGAAAAGAUUCCCGACUCUCGCCAGCUUUUAUUGGGACGCUUUGGCUGCAGGAUGUUCUGCUCUUGGAUUUGAG